GCAUUAAUAAUUUAAUUUUAAAAUUUUAGUCUUGUAAACUAACCUUAAGAAUUUUACUUCUUUUAAUGCU
This 70-nucleotide transfer RNA is filed under the name Ips grandicollis. Its description in RNAcentral is "tRNA-Thr". Lineage: Eukaryota; Metazoa; Arthropoda; Insecta; Coleoptera; Curculionidae. The record is from RNAcentral.